This is a long non-coding RNA of Dermacentor silvarum, 1008 nucleotides long. RefSeq lists it as uncharacterized. The record is from RefSeq and is a predicted model, not a curated record. Lineage: Eukaryota; Metazoa; Arthropoda; Arachnida; Ixodida; Ixodidae. The transcript is spliced from 4 exons.
GGCACAAAGAAUACACACACGUAGCACUUCAUUGUGCCUUCUCAUAUCUUUGUUCCCUGUUCGCGCUACAGCUCGCUCAUUUCAACAUAAACAACCAACAAGCCCACAUCGCCACUCAGAUUUGUGCAGUUUCCUUCGAGUCAUAUUUGGGUAAAGUACCACAGACUAUAUUUUAAGUGAAAUAAGUUAUAUUUCCUCGUUUAAUUGGCCAACACUGUAGUUAGGCUCUGGGUAUAUUUUGGCCAGGCAUCAGCGUGCUACAGUCAAAUUCAAACUUGCGAAACUAAAAAGCAAAAAGAAAGGGAACUGUUUCCUCAUGCAUACCGCCGCAAACAGCCUGUUUUCACAACGCGGACGACACCGUGUCAAAGGAAGUUAUGGAAAAGAGACUGAAAGCAGUGCACUGGUACCCCUUGCAGCAAUUGGAUGUUAUAAAUGUGAUUUCCACAUCACACACAUACCAUGACCUGAAGUUUUGGAUGGAAUGGUGAGCAUAUUUAUGCAGUGAGCCAUCUUAAGUGCCGACUGGCAUACUCUAGUGUUCAAGGGCACUGAAUAUAUUCUAAUUAAGACUGCAAGACUGUAAUACAAUCACAGUCAGAAUUCAUCAAUUCAAUAAACAAUACACAUUUGAACAGUGGUCUCCGGUACAAUGGCAUACCGACAAACAGUAGAAUAGGUAGUAGACAGGUAGUAGACUUGUAGGCUUGUAGACCUGUAAACUUGUAUGCCGAUUGGCUAGUAGACCAUCAAGGUCUGAAAUUAGGGUUAGCCAACAGACAUGUAAGCUGAUAGCUGGUUGGAAUUUUUUACUGGAGAUAUUCAUAUAAAAUUCCAGACCCGCCGUAGUGGCUAAGGCGUACGUACGUUGCUCUACUGAACUGAAAGCUCAGGAUUGAAUCCCGGGCGCGGUGGCAUUUAGAUGGAAGUGAAAUGCACUAGAUGCCUGUGUGCCAUAUGCAUUGGGUGCACAUUAAAAACCACAGGGAGUUAAAAUAAUUCGGAAUG